This 127-nucleotide non-coding RNA is filed under the name Candidatus Kaiseribacteriota. RNAcentral's name for it is "Candidatus Kaiserbacteria TPP sequence". It matches the Rfam family "TPP riboswitch aptamer (THI element)". From Rfam's summary of the family: Vitamin B(1) in its active form thiamin pyrophosphate (TPP) is an essential coenzyme that is synthesised by coupling of pyrimidine and thiazole moieties in bacteria. The previously detected thiamin-regulatory element, thi box was extended, resulting in a new, highly conserved RNA secondary structure, the THI element, which is widely distributed in eubacteria and also occurs in some archaea. The record is from RNAcentral.
AGAGUAUUUACGGGGAGCUGGAGACUGCCGGCUGAGAGUUCCGACCUAAAAGAUAUCGUGCCCUAGUCGGAAGACCCAUUGAACCUGUCGGGAUAAUGCCCGCGGAGGGAAUAAUAUGAAAAAUGCA